GCGGCUGUGGCUCAGGAGGUAGAGUGGGUUGUUCACUAAUCAGAAGGUCAGUGGUUCAAUUCCUGGCUGCA
Molecule: non-coding RNA, 71 nt
Organism: Caranx melampygus (bluefin trevally)
Lineage: Eukaryota; Metazoa; Chordata; Actinopteri; Carangiformes; Carangidae
Source: the annotation of a GenBank genome assembly